CUUUUCUCUCUCUUCCUCUAUCUCCUGCCUUUGUCCCUUAUCCCUGCUCUCUGUCCCUCUGUGGCAAAUAAAUCUCCUUUGUGCUGAGAACUUGGUCUUGGGAGUCCUGAGCCAAUACUUUUCCUGUCAUUUAUAACUAGGAAAGGCUCAGCAGGUGUAGACUGUAAGAGAUGUGGCCCAGGUGGUAGAGAACUUGUGUCUCAAGAAACCAACCAACCACAAAUAAAUAAACAAGAGCAACAACAACCCCCCCCCAAACAACAACAAAAACCCCAAAAGUUUUAAGAGCUAUCUGAACAGGGAGAGAGCAUUGUAAUGUCUAAGGGGGGGACAGGGAGAAGAGGUGGGAGCAUCUUCCUAUGUGUGGGAAGGUAUCAGAGUGGACAUUUACUUUUCGUCUCCCUCUUUCUCUUUUAGUUCUUCUUUCCUUCUUUUGCAUCCUGUCUUCCUCCAGCUAAGGAACACCCUCAAUCACUCUGGCUUCUUUGUUCGUGGCUCAUGGUCCUAACUGGGUGGAGCUCCAGGUUGCUCUCCUUCCAAUUGGUGCAGUUCAGGCCUGUGGCUCCUGUGGUUGCCCUUCUUCCCAAUUGGUGCAGGAGGGGCAUAUGGCUCCAGAGUCACUCUUCCCAAUUGGUCGCAGGGGAUUUCAGUGCUUGGCUGUGGAUUUCUGCAUCUGUUUCCACCAGUUACUAGACGAAGGCUCUCUGAUGACAACAAUUAGGGUAGUUGCCAAUCUGAUUACAGGAGAUGGUCAGUUUAAGCAUCCUCUCCACUAUUUAGGGAAGUCUUAGCUGGGGUCGUCCUUGUGGUUUCCUAGGAAUCUCCCUGGCACCAGUUUUUUCCUUGAACUGAAAAUGCCCCCUGAACCCUUUUUUUUUUUUUUUUUAAUGUAUCUGCAUCAGACAUGGUGAUGUUGGGAUUAGAGAGGUGCACCACACAAGGAUUUCUCAUUCUUUUUUUAAAGGUAGGUUCUUGGUAUUCGGCUCGGGCUGGCCUCUAACUCACUUGGGAGAUCAAGCCUGCUGCUUCAUGCUCCCAGUGGCUGAGACUACUGGUGAAACCACGAAGACAGCUUUGAUAUCUUCUUCUUUACUUCCAUUUUACAUUCUUUGUUUUUUGUGAGGCGUGGUCUCUUGUAGUUACUAUGGCCUGGAACUCAAUUUGUUACCUCUGCCCACAUUUUUUUUUUUUGUUUUGCUUUUGCUUUUUCGUAUAGAGCUUCUUUGUGUAGCCCUGGCUGUCCUAGAACUCACUCUCUACGCCAGGUUGCCUUUGAACUCACAGAGCUGCAUAUGCCUCUGCUUCCUGUGUGCUUGGACUAAAGGUGUGUACUACCACCACAUAGCUGCUCAUGUUCUCUCUAGAUAUGUGACGUUAAAAUUGUAAGAACAGAAAAGUUAUUAUGGGUAACCAGCGAAGGGAAAGGUGGGGGAGGACCAGGUAAGUUCUUGUUAUGUAGCCUUGGCUGCUUAGUACUGAAAGACGUUUGAGAUAUUCUCAGCUCAGCACAUAGCCUUGAGGAUGUAAAAUGUGAAGUCAGGUUCAAAUCCAGUGAGUGAAGAUGGGCAGAUUGGGUGUUCGGCAAAGGGUCUUCCUGAUUUGGAGGUUUUGAUAUGUGUAAGUGGAGAACCAACAGGGGUGCAAAAUGAAGCUCCCAGCAUUGUAGGAGGGGAGGAAAGAAACAGAGGGAGGGAAGUGGGAGAGGUCAGUGAAUAAGAACAGAGUAAACUGUGUGUAUGUAUGAAAAGGCCAUAAUGAAAUUCAUCAGUCUGUGUGUUAACUUCAAAUGUUAAAGGAGGAUGUUCUAUUUGCAGUUGGGUUUGUGUGUGUGUGUGUGUGUGUGUGUGUGUGUGUGUGUGUGUGUGUGUGUGUGUGUAAUGUCAGUAGACAACGUGGGUCUUGAUGCUCAUGCCUCAUGAAGUCAGCAAGAAGAAAAUGGUUCCACUGGAACUGAAGGUGGAGAUGGUUACGAGGUAGAACCCAAAGAUCUGGAAAAAUCAAAAGUGCUCUUAACCAAUGAGCCAUUUCUUCAGCUUCGACAUCCAGAUUCCUUUACUAAACAUAAAUUAUGUGUUAAUUAUAGUUUGUGUGUGUGUGUGUGUGUGUGUGUGUGUGCACAGCACUAUAGCAAUAUUAAACACUAACUUAGACACAGACUCACACCCAAUUAAAAUUCUCUCCAUUCUUUUGGAACUCUAUCUGAGCCCAUAUUUCCACAUCAUUAAAUACAGAACUCACCCUUUCCUUUCCGACUCCAUUCAGAAAAGUCUUCUACCCUAUACAUGGAUCCCACCAGACAGCCCAUAUUUUUAAACAAGGUCUCAUUAAGAGCAUCCUGGUAUAAACAUUAAUUUUUUUUUAAGAGAAACAAUCAGACGAGGUGGUGUACACUUUUAACCUCAGCAAUUCAGAGGCUCUAGACUAGAAGUCAAGACUCAGAAUCAAGAUGGUGAGACAGGGCGUCCAUUCUUCAGGUAGAGGGCUUCGUGCCCGCCAGUUAUGUGAAGGAGAUGAACCAGAAUUAGGAGGAAGAUUGUGAUCAGUUCAUAGGGAACACCCUCAUCUCCUUAGCUUGCUGGGAGUCACCCCACUAUUUUAAGGAAACUGCACUGCACAUGAAGGUUGGGGGUCCACUGUGGGGACCUAAAAAAAGGGACCAGUAGACAGUGUUUCUCCUCUCAGCCGAUGGAUUGAUGUAAGACUCUUAAGUGAAUGACGUUAGGACAUAUCUGUCUGCCUGGUGAUGAGCUACGGGAAGUGCUAUCCAUAGCCAAUAUACAACUUUUCUGAAUCGACAGAGAUACAUAUCUUGUGGUUCCCAUGGGCCCUUUUUACUAAUAUUAGGUCUCUGAGUGUUGAUACAUUGUAAAUUAUGUCAGCUCCAACUUCUAGCAAAGGUUAAAUACAAGGGCAUUGUGUCUGAGGUGUCCCUCUCUUGGUAGUCACUUGGUUCCCAAAGAUACUUGUGUGUGUGGUAUCCUUGAUGAAUAUGUCUUCACAAUUAGUCAUGGUUUAGGGCAACGCCCACAUAACAAUCAUGACACAUCAAGUGCAGGACUUUCUGUCUCUAUUUCUAAGAACAAGAAACGUGAUGAAGGAAAAAAUAGUGUGAUACCAAGUUCUUAUAUUGCCACCUGAUUAGACAGACAAAGGGAAUAAGGGUAGUCUCGGGGACAGCAAGAGCAAAAUACAGACAGACAUUACAAUUGCAGGGUUAAAAUACACUUCUCGAGUUGGGUAGAUCCUAGAGGCCAAGAAAAUGAAAUCUGACCAAGUAAGGCAGGCUUUUGUUUGAAGGUUGCCGGCCACAGCCACAGGGUACGAGUUUGGAAAACUCAGGCCCCACAGCUCCCCGGUGUAAGUGCUGGCAAUCUCGGCACUCAGGAAGACCAGACUGAAGAGUCAAGAGUUCAAGGGCUACAUGGGCUGGAUGAGGCUGUUAGCGAAAGAAGCAUGAAAGGAAAGAAGAGGACAGUGGACCUGGACCCCCUCUCCCUUCGUUCUAGCUUUUAAUAACUUAUCAGCCAACUUUAGGAUCCAGCUGAAUAUCGUAGCCUGAAUAUACUGGUUUGCAAAUGCUGGACAACCAUUCAGACCUUCUUCGUAGGAGAGUGGACCUGCUGUGCUCACACUGGAUUGAAAAUUCUUUGCACACGCCCCUCUGAACAGCCCCAGCAGAAGGAUGUCAGAGAGGAAGAGGCUUGGAAGAAAGGAACUGAGUGACAGUAAUAUUCCAAGGUGUUCUCACGAGAGAGGGAGUUCUGGGGACUGAAUCCAUGCUUUUCCACCCCAAAGCCACGGCAUUCUGGGUGUGGCUUGAACCUAGGAAGCAGCUGAAGAGGUCAGUGACUGAGAGUGCCACCAGACUGUACUGCUCCAAGUUCCCAGAGUCGGAUUAUUCCUGUAUGGCUACUGUGUUGGAGAAAACACUCUUCAGUCCUUCCAGGAGUUCCACUUACAAGUUAAUAAUUGCCUGGGUCCAAAUUAUGAUUCAGAAUGCACAGUUGUCUCUCUGACUCCACAAAACACCUGUUUCCUCAUCUCAUAUUUUAUCAACUCUGUCCCUGUAAUCAGAACUCACUUCAUAACCAGUUCCAGAACAACCUCCCCCCUCCAUAAACAAACUAAAUAAAAUAAAUACCUAUCAACAAAAGAAUACACACAGAGAGAACUGAAACAGUAAACUAGUUUCUAGCUUUUCAGACACCUACGCCCAGAGAUUAUUUAAUGUCUGAAGUCUGUGGAACACCUGUUGGACCAUGGAGCCCAUGAAGGUAGAUCUCAUUAAAAGCAAUUAACUCAGUAAAAGGGCCAGGCAUCCGUUCUCUCAGGUGGUAGUUUGCAGCUUCUUGGAAUGACUUAGACUAUCCUUUGUAGAAAGCCUUGUGCUACAAUAGUAAUAGAAACAAUUUAAGGAACUGGUCAACGUUUAAACAGGUAAAGGAAAAGGUGUCCCUCUGGGAACCACAUGGUAGAAAGAAAAGAGUACAGAGAUCUGCCUACCUCUGCCUGCCUAGGGCGGGGAUACCAUACCUGGAUGACAUACAUAUCUGCAAUGAGCUUUUACAAAGGUCUAAUACUAAUUUUGCCCUUAUCCCUCAAGAUUAUCAGAAAAAUUAAAUAGACAAACAGUAUUCUGAAACUUAAUUUACUUAAACUAAAUCAGCUCAGCCAGCAAGAUGGUUCCUGAUAAAGAUGCCUGCUGCCCUGCAGAAAGACCUGAGUUAAACUUUUAGAACCAAUACAGUUGGUGGAAGGAAAGAGAGAGUCAGCUCACACAAGUUGUCUCCUUGCCUACACAUACAAAUUAAAUGUGUAGUAAACCAAGUUGACUGUCUUAUGUUGGGCAAAAGUCUUCCACUAGUCUUAAUGGCCUCUAGAGCCACUCCUGUACGAAUACCAAAACUGGUCAAUUCUAGUAGCUCAGGCCUUUAAUCCCAUCACAUGUGGGACAGAAACAGCUGGAUCUCAGUGAGUUUGAGGCCAUCCUGGUCUUGGUAGUUAUUUCAGGCCAGCUGGGGGUGAAGCAAAUAUCUAAGUGGAUUCCUCUUGUAGACCCGUGACUUUGAUGAUGAACUCAGUGUCUCCCUUACUGACACUAAUAUGAUCAGCUUCAAGGCUUUGGUACACUCAUCAGGAACAAAUUUCAACCAUAACAACCUACCAACAAAUGUGAGACAAUCUGCGACAUAGAGCCUGAAUCAAACAUUUCUUUACUUCUUUGAGGCAGAGGAGCCAACCCAGGGCUUUGAAUAUAAUGAGUCUGUUCAUCACCACUCAGCUGUAUCCAAAGUUACUUUUCUCAAGCCACCUCAUAUACUACUAUGCCAGCUGAUAUACAAUGGGCAAUAUAUAUCAGUAAUCCUUCCCCUAGAUUCAGGCCACAUCAUUCAGUAGACACUUCCCUAAGAUGCUCAAACAAGACUCCAUCUGAAAAUGGCAAUGGACUCCCUAAUACUGAAGUAGAGACAGUAGAGAGCUUGGAACUGAAACACUGCCAUCAGAAAGAACAUGUGCUCUUAACCACAAGGCCAUCUUUCCACCUCGCAAAUUCAGAGUGUUUUAAUUAAACAAAAUUAGGUUUUGCUUAUUAUUUGGGGGUAUGCAUGUAUGUGAACAUGCCAUAGGAAACGGAGGUCUGCAGACAACUUUAAAGAAUUAGUCUUCUAUCCUGGUAGUGGUGGCCUAUGCCUUUAAUCCCAGAACUCAGGAAGCAGAGGCAGGAGGAUCUCUAAAUUCAAGGCCAGCCUGUUCUACAGAGUGAGUUCCAGGACUGCCAGAGAUAUACAGAGAAACCCUGUAUGGGAAAUCUAAAACAAAUAACAACAAAAAAGAAUUAGUCUUCUUGUUCUUCACAAAAGUCAGGUCCUGGUCCUGAUGCAGACAGCAAAUUUAUUUGCUGAGUCAUCUCAAACAUACUCCAUGUCUUUUUUGUUUGAAUCGUCAUACCCAUCUGUGAGAUGCAUGUUGGUCAUUCCAGGAAACUCAGAUAAUGAGACCUUAAACUUUACUGCACAUGAAGUUUGAGAGUCUCCUGUAUGAACCUGACAUGAGGAACCAGGUGACCGUGGCUCCUUUUCUCUGCAGAUGGAUUGAUGUAGGACUGACUGAAUAGGAUUAGGAAAUAUUUCUAUACUGGGUGUUGAACUAUGGAAGGUUCUCUUCUUAGACAACCUAAAUAAGUUCUGGAUGUAUGGAGAGAUAUAUAUUUUGUCGUCCAGCCAUGUCCUCAAUUCAGUCAGAGUGUUCCCCUUGCUCCACAUACUCACCAGCAUGAGCUGUCACUUGUGGUUUUUUAUUUUGGCCAUUCCAACAGGUAUAAGAUAGUUUGGACUAUCUUAUACCUGUUGGGAAUAUAAAAUUGUAAAGCCAUUUUGGAAUCAAUAUGGUGGCUUCUCAGAAAAAUGGAAAUUGAUCUAUCUCAAGACCUAGUUAUACUACUACUGGGCAUGUACCCAAAGAAUGCUCCAUCCUACCACAAGGACAUUUGCUCAACAAUGUUCAUAGCAUUUUUAUUUGUAAUAGCCCGAAACUGGAAACAACCUAGAUGUGCCUCAACUGAAGAAUGAAUAAAGAAAAUGUGGUACAUUUACACAAUAGAGUAUUACUCAGCUGUUAAAAACAAAUGGAUGAAACUAGAUAAGAUCAUCCUGAGUGAGGUAACUCAGACCCAGAAAGACAAACAUGGUAUAUAACCAUGCUACAAUAUAGACCCAGAGAAACUAAAUAACAAGGAAGGAUCAAGGGGUGAUGCAUGGAUCUCACUGUGAAGAAGAAAUAGAAAGGACAACACCAGUGAACAGGGUGAGGCAUC
Long non-coding RNA from Peromyscus californicus insignis, 6814 nucleotides. RefSeq lists it as uncharacterized. The transcript is spliced from 3 exons. NCBI's taxonomy places the organism in Eukaryota, Metazoa, Chordata, Mammalia, Rodentia, Cricetidae. The record is from RefSeq and is a predicted model, not a curated record.